CUGCUUGUUCCGAUUGAGGAUGAGUUGCAGUAAUAAUUGCUCAUCUCGAUCCCUCCCUUCCGUUUAUUACUUCAUUCAAUUCAAUUCAUUCCAGCUACUAGCUUGCCUUAUAUAGGAGUAUUAUACUAGUAGUGCAUCUCGACUACUUCCUCCGUUCCAUGGCUCCUAAUCUAAAAAUUCUUCAGCUUAAUUUGACCUGCUUUUCAAGUUUAUGAAAAAUAAAUGUAACGAGAAUAAAUAUAUUCUCAAUACGGUGGAUUUUAAUAAAACUAGCUUGUUUUCAU
RNAcentral lists this small RNA (284 nucleotides) under Oryza sativa Japonica Group (Japanese rice). RNAcentral describes it as "sRNA Os06g0118950". The record is from RNAcentral. Lineage: Eukaryota; Viridiplantae; Streptophyta; Magnoliopsida; Poales; Poaceae.